Molecule: ribosomal RNA, 466 nt
Filed under: uncultured bacterium
Lineage: Bacteria
Description: partial 16S ribosomal RNA
Rfam family: Bacterial small subunit ribosomal RNA
Source: RNAcentral
GAUGAACGCUGGCGGCGUGCUUAACACAUGCAAGUCGAACGAUGAAGCCCAGCUUGCUGGGUGGAUUAGUGGCGAACGGGUGAGUAACACGUGAGUAACCUGCCCUUAACUCUGGGAUAAGCCUGGGAAACUGGGUCUAAUACCGGAUAGGAGCGCCUACCGCAUGGUGGGUGUUGGAAAGAUUUAUCGGUUUUGGAUGGACUCGCGGCCUAUCAGCUUGUUGGUGAGGUAAUGGCUCACCAAGGCGACGACGGGUAGCCGGCCUGAGAGGGUGACCGGCCACACUGGGACUGAGACACGGCCCAGACUCCUACGGGAGGCAGCAGUGGGGAAUAUUGCACAAUGGGCGAAAGCCUGAUGCAGCGACGCCGCGUGAGGGAUGACGGCCUUCGGGUUGUAAACCUCUUUUAGUAGGGAAGAAGCGAAAGUGACGGUACCUGCAGAAGAAGCACCGGCUAACUACGUG